This is a non-coding RNA of Anas platyrhynchos (mallard), 3401 nucleotides long. NCBI's taxonomy places the organism in Eukaryota, Metazoa, Chordata, Aves, Anseriformes, Anatidae. The record is from RefSeq and is a predicted model, not a curated record.
CUAUUUAUCCCCAAAAGACUGUUUCAGCUCACAGUGGCCUUGUGCUGGAGAGGAUUCUCUCCUGGGUGGUUGAAUUUCUGUGGGCACUGUCACCAUCUAGUGGCAUUUUGCUACUGGUUUGCAGGGGCAGCGUUGUUCUGCCCCGUGGCUUGCCCCCAUGAUCAUUCCUUUCUCCCAGUUAUCAGCCCUGGUUUUUACUAAUUUGCAAGUUAAGAGCCUGCAGGUGUGGGCGCAGCUUUAUCUGGCUGAUUUUUUCCCACCAUGUCCCUCUUAGGGAGUAGCUCUGCCUGGUUGAGGGAGGAAAAUGUCCAUGCUCUGUUUCCAUCCCUAUUUCAUGAGGAUUUCUCAUAAGCAGUGUUCUGGCAGUGAGGAGCUGAGCGGCUGAUGCCUGGUUUUAGGGAGUUAUUGCUCUGCUGUCUGCACCCUGUUGGAGCUGCCUGUGAAUUCGCGCUCUCCUCUCAGAUCUCAAAUGCUGGCGGCCCUGCAAUGGCUGCUGCUGCGUGGAGCAAUGAGUUCUCACCCAAGAAGUUGGAGAAAAGCUCAUAAAGUAUUUUGUGAGGUCUUGAUCCAGCUUCGGACUGCAGUAGCUUUGGCUAUGGCUCGGCGAUGCUCUCCUCUGCUCAGAUAUGUCAGCUGCCGGGUUUGAUUUUAUCGUAUGAGGAGACAAACUGUUUAGUGAAUGAAACCAGAUGUGCAAGCCUGUGCUGAGAGACCUAAAGCCCCUUUGCGAAGGAGUCAAGCCAGAAACCUUGGAAAAGACGUAUAAAAACAUUCAUGGAAUGUAUUCUUGGCAAUUCAAGCUGUACUUACAAGCUCUCAUGAGCACACAGAUGAGGAUCAAAGUGUGUGGCCGUGGUAGAUGCAAUCUCAAUCACCGUGCAUGUCCGGAUCUCUGGAAGAACCCACCAGAGGAUGCUGAUCCUGCACCAAGCUCUGCCAAGGUGACUGACACGGGAGCCAGUCUGUCUCACUGACCAGCAGUCCCCAGGUUCCUUCACAGGUGGGGCAAGCCACACUGCGAAAUCAGUUCUGUAGGAGUUUGUAUUCCCCAAUGCAUCCCUCCUGAAACCAAAUACUGCAAUGCCAAAAUAAAAUGACCCCUUAACAUUUUUAUUAGGAAAUAAUGGGUAGUAUUGCUCCCAUCUCCAAGGUCUUGAAUGCUAAAUAACCUGGGCAGGAGAUCUCCAUGCCAGCAUAACACUGUUCUUUGUGUUAAAUUAACAUGUCCGACUUGACAUGAAGAUGCUCUUGGAGUAGCAAAGUGCUUGCUUGGCUAAAUCCAGGCUUCUAGCUUUGUCUGCUGCAGCACAGAGCUGCACACAUUUUCCUCUGCUAGCUCUGCAUAUGAGAAGAGCCCAAAAAUGUUAUUGCUACUGAUAAAUCCUUAAUUUUUCUUCAUAAUUGAUGGGAUAGGCAGAGUUGUGGUGUACCCAGGUAAAGACCUGUGUGAAUGCAGGACAAUAGCUGGACAGGAAACAAUUCCCAGUGCUUGACCUGGAAGAUGUGGCCGUGCCGAGGAAUGCGCACACCUACGGGCUUCUCAUGGGAAUAGCUCUGCUGUCAUAAUAAGGGCACCGUCAGCUGUUGUGGCAUCACUUGCUUCUGUUUUAUGGAAGUGUCUCAAUAGAAAUAUCUAAAAAGGACAUAUCAGUCUUCCAACUGUCCUCACCUGGCCCAGGAAGACUGUAAGAGCAGUGGAAAUUUGCUCUUCUCAGGCACCUGCAGAAGAUCCAACCUGACUUUCUUUGACUCUGUGACCUUCUUCUACUCCCUGCCGAGGCACCUCUCUGUGUAUCAGCAAAUGGGGCUGCUACCAAGGGUACAAGAGGUCUGUGUCUGUAGGAACAUAAGCAGCGUUUGCAGCAGAAGUCUUUGUGGGAGAGCACUGCAGCUCUGGCACUGCCUCAUGCUGCCUGCUUGGGGCCAUGCUGCCAAGGCGUUUAAGUGUCGGUCACUUCUGAAAGGCCGGUCUUUAACCUCUUGAUCUUCUAUUCCUAAUGAAAUGGGAGGGGUGGCAGGAACUCGCACUUUCUCAUGUGGAUUUUGGUAAUUAGUCUAAAUGCUUCUGUAACACAAGGACGUUAAAGGCCUUGCACACCAUUAAUGCAAACUGCUUACUUGUAACGGAGUAAACACCAUCGCACCGACCACACUGCUAACACCAGCAGACUCCUAAUUUUGGAGAUUGUGAAAGGUUGCUCACUGUGCCCAGUGCAUGUGGGAAGGAGGUUUUGAAAGGGUAAAGCUGUGUUGUACUGGUGUCCGGCUGUUGAGGAAAGCAGCUGUAGUGGAUCACCACAAGAGAUGGCACCCAGCACAGCAGAGCAAGGUGACAGGAGGAUGCUUGAGGGGAUCAGGUACCCACCCUGGCUGCUUGGAGCUGCCAAACCUCCUUCCAGCCUGGAUGUCACAUGAGGGACCAGGAUCAGGGUGAUGGGGCAGACCAGGAGGUGGUGGUGAGGUUGAUGCUCAAUACCCUGCUUGGGCACGAGUUGUGGAGCCCCAGCUGUGUCCAGGGAGAAGAUGUAAAGAAAAGGGGCUCGUCCCCCAUAGAUGAGCCCUGCCAAGAUCAAAAUGAAGCAACUUUAGGUACAGCAGCGGCUGCUCUUCGUCCCAUUUCUCUUCCUGUCUGACGCUGUCACGUACUGGGGAGCUGAACCGCUUGGUGCUUCCAAGUGGCCCCUGGUAACUGAUACCUCUAAAACCAAGGUGGAUGGUUUACCAGAAGUCACACUGCGAGCCGGUAGCUCUUGACAUUCGUUGCAGAGCACAUGACGCACCAGAAAAGGGCAGCGGGACCUACAUCUUUUGAUGCAGAAAGCAGCCGUUGCGUGACUCGGUCCUCGCUGGGAAAUGCGGGCUGAGCACCGCAGCCAGCCCCUGGUGGUGCUGGCCCUGGCACCAGCCCAGGGGGAUGGAAAGAGGUUUUUGUUUUAUUUUUUUUAAAAGCUCUUCUUCCUAUUAGCACAUGUCCUGAGUCAGGUGAAGCAGCUGCAGCCUGGUACGCAGCCGUGCUUCUGUGAAGGCUACAGUUGUGUUCAGCUCUGCUUAAAUAUUCUUAGAUUGAAUGGAAACUGCUUGCUAGCUCCUAAAACCCUUCAAAGAGCACAUCCUAUUUAUGCUUCAGUGAAGGUCUCCAACCUGACUGUUGUGGUAUGAGAGGGCUUCAGCAGUUCUUCAUGAGCCAGCUUAAAGGGAGGAGACUUGCUGCAUAAGUAAGGUGUGUGGCGGGUGUUAGAGGCUGAGAACAGGAUUGAUCUGUGAGGCUCCAUAUUGUUACAGACCGCGUGACUGCUAAGCACAGAGAAGCAGAUAACUCCCUGAAGUAGUUAAUUUGAAUAUACAGAAGCAAAAGGAAGAGUAGGAGGAAGAUGUAGGUCAAGUGCUUCAGGAAGAUGCCA